UGAGGGACAUAUGCCCGUGGCACUCUAUUAUGCAAGUAUUUCGACUUAUCUUUCUUCACGAUUUUUUAACAUUUUCUCUAUUGUUUUAUUUCUUCUCUUUGUUUAAAAUAAUUUUUACCCUUCGGUUAAGACUCAAAAGUCGCGCUCCUUCAUUAACCCUUCUCAUUAAACCUUCCUCUACUAUUCAUCUUAAUUACGCCUUCUCUGUUCCUCUUCUUUCUCAUAAUACACCAUAGCCAGUUUAGUCUUUUUUUCUUUGUGCCCUGCCGGAAAAAAAAUGUUAGCGAGACAAGAUUUUGUGGCAUCCUUCAUAACUGUGCUAUCCCCAAAAUAUAAGACAUCGGCCAAUCGGAGCCACUGGUGGUGGACUUAAGAUACAGGUUCGAAGUCGAAAAUCAGCGAUUGCUUGAAAGCACUCAAAGGCUUCAAGGACAUGAGACUUUCUGCUCCGGAGAAAAUAGACGGAACAGUUCGCGACUUUGCAGGUUCCUUCUCUUCGAUUUUUAAAUUAUCUUAACUCUUUUUACUCAAUUUUAUUGCUAUUUACUUUUGGAACAAUUAGAGGAUAUCACAAAUUCUGUAGAUAUUCAAAUUAGAACUUGUGAAAUAUAUACAAAUAGGCGAGAGUUGAUUGAAGUGUUGGUCAAUCUUUGAGGUUUAGUUGAAAAUUCAAUCAUCUUAUUUCAAAGGAGACGUUUUCUUGUGGUUAGACUGAUUUAUUGUUAUAUCUGGACUUCUCAUAGUUUUCUUUUUCCUUUUAAUUAUGCUCUUUCUUGCUAUUUUGUUUUCUUCUUAAGUGUUGGCCGUUUUCGGUUUGACAUAUGUGGUCUCAAAUUUACUUGGACAAGGUUGCAGUAGGUUUGGAUGCUCGAAAUAUAAAAUUCAUUAGAAUUGUUAAAAGGACCUUUCAUUUGACCUUCCCUAUAAUUGUUAACAUUCAUUACAAAUUUACAAUCAUAAACAAUUCACAUUUACUAAUUUAAUUGAGUUAUUUCAUAUUUAACAUUUGUUUUGUCAAUAAAAUUAUAUAGGAUGUUAAAAUUCAUUAAAAGUGGGUAAAUCAUGACAAGAUGUUUGACAUUAUUUUCUUUUAUUAAAUUUAAAUUUUAAUAUUUUAACUAUUUUCUAAGAUGGGGAUAGAAAAGCUUCAUGAAUGCUUCAAACAAGUCACGCCUUGAGAGAGAUUAUGAGACAAUCACACAUGUCACAGAAACAUCAACAUUAAAAUGUAAUUUCUAUUAAACUCUAUGCUGCUGACCUGAAAUAUUGUGAUGCAUUAUUCUUUCGUACCAACUUUCCUUUUGAUGUUGAAUCAUAUUUUCAGAACACUCAAAUAUAAUAUUGACGCAACAGAUUGUUUUCCUUAUUAGGAAUUCAUUUCCCUUUUUUACCCAAGUGAUUGUCUUGGCCAUCUGAUGACCUAUUCUUCUUUUAAUAGGAUGUUGAACUAAACAAAUGAUGGUCACACAGAACAGAGGGGAGACUAUGCCGUUCAAAAUGAGCAAGUUAAAAAGGUAUAGACGAUUGGAGCUACAUGUUUAACAGCUACAACACCGUCACUUGCUUCGGCCAAACAAGCAGCGUCCUUGCUAGAACUUGAUACAAUUGAGGUAUACUUUUGAGCUUUACUCUUCGUGCUACAAUAUUGAGUAAUUUGUCAAUGAAAAUGUUACAUUAUUUGAUAAGUGUUUAAAUCUAACUAUAUAACGUAUAAUGCAAAUAAAUAUCAGGGGUGAAGAAGGAUAUAAUAUCUAGAGAGAAUAUGAAUAAGGAAAAAGUAACUGUACUUGGUUUAUUGUUCCUAUGAAGGUAUCCGUAACUUGAUUGAUAAUGAUAAACUUUGCACAAUGUAUAACCAAGCAUUUGCACAACUUGGAGGGAAUUACUAUUAGCCGUAAACAAUUCUUCUUGAAGGAAACUUUUGCUUGAUGCCAAAUCUGAAAUUUCAUGGUAUUUAAGAGGAGCAUUAAGAUGUUUUUCUUUAUCUUUGGAAUAAAUUUGUAGUAAGCACUAAGCAGAAGGUGCUUUUGGUCUAAAGUUUAAUGAGAAAAUAGUUUUUGCUCAGUAAGUAUAUCUUUGUACUGUAAUAAAGAUUAGAUAUACCAGUUGUGAAUUUCAGAGAUCGCGGCAUAUAUUUUGUCAAUCAAAUAGUUUGAGGCCUCAUCUUUUUUGAUUUUUUUAGGAUUAUAUUCAGGUGUCUGCAUAUUCCAAAAUGGUUUUUUGAAUUGAAACAAAAUUGACAUUUUAAAAAUAUCAUUUCGUGCACUAUUACCUUUUUCUUCUAUAAUUUGAAGUGAUCAUUUUUAAAUAGGAAAGGGAAAGGAUUGGAACGUUUGACGAGAGAUUUUAUGGUGUUUAAAGGUAUACAAACAACAAAGGACACCACUAGACGAAAAAAAGGAGAGUGACAAGGUGGUCUUUGGUUUUCUAAGCAACCUUGAUAGCCUAUGCACCCUCUUAACCUACUCCGCGUAAUUAUUACUUUAGUAGUAUUAGAUAUUUUUGCUGUUUCUACCAUCCUUGAAAGCUUAAAUUAGCUCAUUUUGACAACAUUCUGUCGAGAGCAAUACCUAAAGAUACCAUGAAAGGGGGACUGUCUUCUUAAAAAAUAUAUAUUUAAACUUUUUUGUGUAAAAGAAACUGAUUUCUUUUUUUCAUGAUAAAUGGUUGAAAAUUAUCUGUAUGUCUAAUAUGAUGAUAUUAAGGAUGUUAUUGCAGGACUAUUUCAGAGUAUGAUAUGGUACCGACAAAGCAAUCGAUAAUCCAUAGGCAUUUAUUAUAUUCUCUUGCUUUCUUCUCAUAAAAUUGGGCUCGCCGUUUGUGAUCGUGUAUUUUUAUGAAAUCAUUUUUGUUAAAUUUGUGGAACAGUUUAGCGCGAUUCGAGUAUUUACAACUUACAAGUUGCAUCUAUGAAUGCCAUUUGGAUUUACAGUUGUCUUACGCACUUGAUUUUGUUAAUUUCACUCUACAAUUUGAAUGGAGGUAUAUGUGAUUCGGACAAUGGGUUCCUCCUGGUGGGUCAAGUGCAAGAAUUUUUUUGUUUAUAACUGAGAAUGUGCUGUACAUUUUAUUUUUCUCCUGCA
Molecule: long non-coding RNA, 3083 nt
Filed under: Nicotiana tabacum (common tobacco)
Lineage: Eukaryota; Viridiplantae; Streptophyta; Magnoliopsida; Solanales; Solanaceae
Description: long non-coding RNA (NTAB_LNC001106)
Source: RNAcentral